UUCUAUAGUAAAACAAUACUCUUGAAUUUUCAAAAAUGUGGGUUAUCGGUAUGAAAAAAUCUUGAUCUGCCAAUGAAUCUAGUACUAACCAUGUUCGAAGGCCUGGUGCUCAAAAAGCGAACAGACACGCAGACAUUAAACUUGUUUUGAUCGUUUUGGCUAUAAAAAUUAUCAGAUUUUCAAGGAAUUAAGUUAAUUCUAUUUCCAGAAAAGGCUCAUGUACCGUACGGAUAAAAUAAAGAGAAUCAUCAAUAGACCCAGGAAAGAAAUAAUUAAUCAAAUUCACCCGGGGACAAAUUCCUAGGUUCUAUAGCGGGGCCUAAAGGAACGAUCGUCAAUGAUGAUUGGUCGGCUAUGGUAUUGUUUGAUCGCAAGGUCCGGCAUAAACCUUCCUAAAUUUAAUCGGAACAGCACAUAUUCGACAGCGAGUUGGAAUGCCCAUACCGAUAUAUUACAGUUUGUACUGAGGCAGUACAGAAUUGAGUCCUGUGCAUCCGUUUAAAAAGAAUUCCCAAACUUUUUCAAUAAUUCAACGCAAAGAAAAAUAGAAAAGCUUUGCCGCAUUAAAAUCACUUUAAAAAUCGACGCUACAUUACGCGGGUAAGUUUUGCGAAAGAGUCCCAGCGACCCACAAAAAAAAA
This 641-nucleotide small RNA is filed under the name Drosophila pseudoobscura pseudoobscura. Its description in RNAcentral is "GA32727". The record is from RNAcentral. Lineage: Eukaryota; Metazoa; Arthropoda; Insecta; Diptera; Drosophilidae.